RNAcentral lists this ribosomal RNA (253 nucleotides) under uncultured bacterium. RNAcentral's name for it is "partial 16S ribosomal RNA". It matches the Rfam family "Bacterial small subunit ribosomal RNA", at positions 524 to 776 of the family's 1533-position model. The record is from RNAcentral.
UACGUAGGGGGCAAGCGUCGUCCGGAAUCAUUGGGCGUAAAGAGCGUGUAGGCGGCUCGAUAAGUCUGCUGUGAAAGUCCAGGGCUCAACCCUGGAAGGCCGGUGGAAACUGUCGGGCUAGAGUCCGGAAGAGGCGAGUGGAAUUCCCGGUGUAGCGGUGAAAUGCGCAGAUAUCGGGAGGAACACCAAUGGCGAAGGCAGCUCGCUGGGACGGUACUGACGCUGAGACGCGAAAGCGUGGGGAGCAAACAGG